RNAcentral lists this ribosomal RNA (253 nucleotides) under uncultured bacterium. Its description in RNAcentral is "partial 16S ribosomal RNA". It matches the Rfam family "Bacterial small subunit ribosomal RNA", at positions 524 to 776 of the family's 1533-position model. The record is from RNAcentral.
UACGAAGGGGGCUAGCGUUGCUCGGAAUCACUGGGCGUAAAGGGUGCGUAGGCGGGUCUUUAAGUCAGGGGUGAAAUCCUGGAGCUCAACUCCGGAACUGCCUUUGAUACUGAGGAUCUUGAGUUCGGGAGAGGUGAGUGGAACUGCGAGUGUAGAGGUGAAAUUCGUAGAUAUUCGCAAGAACACCAGUGGCGAAGGCGGCAUCCUGGACCGAUACUGACGCUGAGGAGCGAAAGCCAGGGGAGCAAACGGA